Molecule: ribosomal RNA, 477 nt
Filed under: uncultured Planctomycetales bacterium
Lineage: Bacteria; Pseudomonadati; Planctomycetota; Planctomycetia; Planctomycetales
Description: bacterial SSU rRNA
Rfam family: Bacterial small subunit ribosomal RNA
Source: RNAcentral
UUCGCAAUGCCCGAAAGGGCGACGAAGCGACGCCGCGUGUGGGAAGAAGGCCUUCGGGUUGUAAACCACUGUCGGGAGUUAAGAAAUGUAAGGGUGUUAACAGCAUCCUUACUUGACUAAGGCUCCGGAGGAAGCCACGGCUAACUCUGUGCCAGCAGCCGCGGUAAUACAGAGGCGGCAAGCGUUGUUCGGAAUUAUUGGGCGUAAAGAGCACGUAGGCGGCCUUGCAAGUCAGUUGUGAAAUCCUUCUGCUUAACGGAAGAACAGCAGCUGAUACUACAGGGCUUGAGUGCGGGAGGGGAGAGUGGAACUUCUGGUGGAGCGGUGAAAUGCGCAGAUAUCAGAAGGAACGCCGGCGGCGAAAGCGGCUCUCUGGCCCGUAACUGACGCUGAGUGUGCGAAAGCUAGGGGAACAAACGGGAUUAGAUACCCCGGUAGUCCUAGCCGUAAACGAUGGGCACUAAGUAGAGGGGUUUU